CCCAAACCCACUGUGAACCUUACCUCAGUUGCCUCGGCGGGAACGCCCCGGCCGCCGGCCCCCGCGCCGGCGCCGGACCCAGGCGCCCGCCGCAGGGACCCCAAACUCUCUUGCAUUACGCCCAGCGGGCGGAAUUUCUUCUCUGAGUUGCACAAGCAAAAACAAAUGAAUCAAAACUUUCAACAACGGAUCUCUUGGUUCUGGCAUCGAUGAAGAACGCAGCGAAAUGCGAUAAGUAAUGUGAAUUGCAGAAUUCAGUGAAUCAUCGAAUCUUUGAACGCACAUUGCGCCCGCCAGCAUUCUGGCGGGCAUGCCUGUUCGAGCGUCAUUUCAACCCUCGAGCCCCCCCGGGGGCCUCGGUGUUGGGGGACGGCACACCAGCCGCCCCCGAAAUGCAGUGGCGACCCC
Molecule: unclassified non-coding RNA, 408 nt
Filed under: Purpureocillium lilacinum
Lineage: Eukaryota; Fungi; Ascomycota; Sordariomycetes; Hypocreales; Ophiocordycipitaceae
Description: sequence contains ITS1, 5.8S rRNA gene, ITS2
Rfam family: 5.8S ribosomal RNA (bases 175-328)
Source: RNAcentral